RNAcentral lists this ribosomal RNA (838 nucleotides) under uncultured bacterium. RNAcentral's name for it is "bacterial SSU rRNA". It matches the Rfam family "Bacterial small subunit ribosomal RNA", at positions 28 to 866 of the family's 1533-position model. The record is from RNAcentral.
GAUGAACGCUGGCGGCGUGCUUAACACAUGCAAGUCGAACGAAGCACUUAUCUUUGAUUCUUCGGAUGAAGAGGUUUGUGACUGAGUGGCGGACGGGUGAGUAACGCGUGGGUAACCUGCCUCAUACAGGGGGAUAACAGUUAGAAAUGACUGCUAAUACCGCAUAAGACCACGGAGCCGCAUGGCUCAGUGGGAAAAACUCCGGUGGUAUGAGAUGGACCCGCGUCUGAUUAGGUAGUUGGUGGGGUAACGGCCUACCAAGCCAACGAUCAGUAGCCGACCUGAGAGGGUGACCGGCCACAUUGGGACUGAGACACGGCCCAAACUCCUACGGGAGGCAGCAGUGGGGAAUAUUGCACAAUGGGGGAAACCCUGAUGCAGCGACGCCGCGUGAGCGAAGAAGUAUUUCGGUAUGUAAAGCUCUAUCAGCAGGGAAGAAAAUGACGGUACCUGACUAAGAAGCACCGGCUAAAUACGUGCCAGCAGCCGCGGUAAUACGUAUGGUGCAAGCGUUAUCCGGAUUUACUGGGUGUAAAGGGAGCGUAGACGGCUGUGUAAGUCUGAAGUGAAAGCCCGGGGCUCAACCCCGGGACUGCUUUGGAAACUAUGCAGCUAGAGUGUCGGAGAGGUAAGUGGAAUUCCCAGUGUAGCGGUGAAAUGCGUAGAUAUUGGGAGGAACACCAGUGGCGAAGGCGGCUUACUGGACGAUGACUGACGUUGAGGCUCGAAAGCGUGGGGAGCAAACAGGAUUAGAUACCCUGGUAGUCCACGCCGUAAACGAUGACUACUAGGUGUCGGGGAGCAAAGCUCUUCGGUGCCGCAGCAAACGCAAUAAGUA